UCCUGACACAGGGAGGUAGUGACAAGAAAUAACAAUACAGGGCUAUUUUAGUCUUGUAAUUGGAAUGAGUACAAUUUACAUCUCUUCACGAGGAUCAAUUGGAGGGCAAGUCUGGUACCAGCAGCCGCGGUAAUUCCAGCUCCAAUAGCGUAUAUUAAAGUUGUUGCAGUUAAAACGCUCGUAGUCGGAUUUCGGGGCGAACCCGCCGGUCUGCCGUUGGGUAUGCACUGGUGGGCGCGUCCUUCCUUCCGGAGACCGUUCCUACUCUUAGCUGAGCGGGGACGGGAGACGGAUCGUUUACUUUGAAAAAAUCAGAGUGUUUCAAGCAGGCAUUUGCUCUUGCAUGGAUUAGCAUGGGAUAAUGAAAUAGGACUUUGGUGCUAUUUUGUUGGUUUCGAACACCGAAGUAAUGAUUAACAGGGACA
RNAcentral lists this ribosomal RNA (425 nucleotides) under Haptophyta environmental samples. RNAcentral's name for it is "SSU rRNA". It matches the Rfam family "Eukaryotic small subunit ribosomal RNA", at positions 449 to 880 of the family's 1831-position model. Lineage: Eukaryota; Haptophyta. The record is from RNAcentral.